Molecule: long non-coding RNA, 2240 nt
Filed under: Fukomys damarensis (Damara mole-rat)
Lineage: Eukaryota; Metazoa; Chordata; Mammalia; Rodentia; Bathyergidae
Description: lncRNA (ENSFDAG00000026518.1)
Source: RNAcentral
CCACUGUGUACUGUGUACAGAAAAGCAAGCAGAGGCUAAAUUAUGAGUGGGCAAAUGAAAGCUUAUGGGGCAGCAGUCACAGGCCAGGAAGGACCCAGAUGUUUCUGUCUGUCCACUGAGGCGCACCUCCUCAGCCAGGUGCGGGAGAGGUAGAAAUCAUGGCUCCUUCACAGCCCAGCAAACAGGCUCCGGUUUGCACUCACACUGGAGAAAUACUGAGACAGCAGUUCCUGGUGCCAAGCAGAGGCAAAUACUUCCGCUGGGCAGGGCUGUCCCGAGGGCUCUGCAAAUUCCUUUCCUUCUGCCUCACGACCAGGAGAGAGGCUCGCUGCUUGCUACACCAUCCCCUUGGACACACAGAGAAACUGAGUCUCAGCGGAUCGAGGACACAAGGUUUUCCACGCAGUUACUCCUGGGAACUUCACUGGAGUCGGGGGAGAGAGAGCUUUGUGUGUCGGGGCAGCGCCUCCCGGCCUGGUGCGUGUGUGUAACCAGAUGUCCUGCUGUAUUCUGUACCACUCACCUAGAGACAAGGCAAAGCGAGCUGAUCUCCAAACACUGCAUCCAGACUUACUGCAGAAGCCCAAUUGCCUCUCUCUUAGAGCAGCUAGGAAUGUCUUACACUGUCUCGUUACAUGUUUCCCGAUCCUUAACGUGAACAUCACCAGCAGAACAGUUCCACGUCAUUUGGAGAAAUUUGAUAGUGAAAUAUGUCAUGUCACUAAAUAAGCCAAAGACUUUUUCUCCAUGCUGCUGACAGGAGCUAUGACAACAAUACCAUAGAAUUCUCAUAGCCCCAUUCCCUUACAUCCAUGGUCUGGUUAUGGUAAUGCUAGGUGCUGUAGUAAAACAAAAAUCAAAAAAACAAAAAACCACCCAAAUCUCAGUUCCCCCAGAGACCAGAGUUGCACUCACGCCUACUGGUGGGGACCCAAGUCCUUUCUGUCCUGUGGCCCUGCUGUCUUUGGCACACAGCAACCGAGGUGUUCUAGGUGCCACCUCCAUCCCAGCUGGGGAGAAGAGUGCUAGCACAGAGUGCGGAAGAGUCUCACGGGCCUGGUCUGGGACAGGCAAUGCAGCUCCUAAUCUCAGAGCUUUUGAGGAAAUCACUCAUUUGUGGUCGCAGGUGGAGAAAGGACUGAUGGUUUUCUGGAAAACAGGACAAAAAGUUUAAACACAAAUAUGGCUGUGUGAAGCGGACAGAGGCACCAGAGGAAGAGGCUCCUAAUGGUAAAAUGUGGGAUGAGAUGCCUGCAAAGGGUCACUAGAAAUCCUUGUGGGGAGGAAGAGACUGGUCUGAGAGGAUGGAUGCUUAUGCAGUAUUGUCUAAGUAAGGCAAGUGGAUAAAGUUCAAAGAAACGGUAACUGUAAACAAUGAUCUCCCCACCCACCCCUCCCCACACAUCUGUUUGAAGCCAUCAGGGUUACCAUUUCAGUGAGGGUGCGGCAUCCAGGAUCAGGAAGGGGAGAAAGGGAAGCACAGAACCCCGAGACUUCCUACUCAGGGCUGAUUUUCUGCUCAAGGACCUAGUGAACUCAGUAGUGGCCAGCACCAUAUGUAGCCCUGAGCUUGAAGAAGCUGGUCAGUACUGUAGGCCAACUCACAGAGCUGGGGAAACAAAACCAGGGACCCAGAGCCAACUAAAAAGAGAGUCACAGAAAAGACCAGGACGUUUCAGUUUAGGGUCUCUGAAAGACUACAUGGUAGGAGCAAAGCCCAGUGGGAAAUAGAUCAACCAUGCAGGCCUUCAUACGUGGCUUUGAAUUAGCUCAGUUCAAAAUUUGAGGCAGGUGAUACACCAAAGCCCUAACUUCCUGUGAGAAGGAAAAGCAGAUUCUCCACCUAAGCCUCAAGUCAUAGCAAAACAUUUCAUGCACAACGUCUGGCAUACAUUAAAUAGUCAUUAGAUACACAAAGAAACAAAUGAAUCUAAUGAAAAAGUAAAGAGAGAAAUAAAAACAGAUCCUGCAAGGAAGUGCACAUAAGAUCCUGUUAUCCAAUGUGCCUUUAAAAUAACAGUACUUAAUAAGCUCAAGAAAAUAAAGAAGGAAGACAAUCUCAGGACAUGAAUGAUAUUUAUACAAAAAGUAGUAAUUUCAUAUCAUAACUGCAAUAAGGUGAAAUGAAAAAAUUCAGUUUGGGUUUAGGAAUACAUUAUAUUCAGCUAAAGAGAGAAUUAAAAAACUGAAAUUCAACAGGAGAGAAUAACCAGGUUAAACAGUGCAGUAAUUCAGAGUGC